GCCUUCUUAAACAUCCCAUGAAGUGGUUUGGAUCACUGGUUUUUUAUACUUUGGGUGCAGGUUAACCGCUUGGAUGCGAGUUGCUUAGUUCGGGGCUUGCUUGGAAUCUUGGAUGAUAAAAUGCAAUGGAGCUGUUUCGGACUUUAUCGCAUUGGCUCAUGUUGUGUAAUAGUAGAAAUGUAUGAGAUUAUUGAAUUUGAAGUGUGAUGAAAUGGUUGUAAUGGUUAUGUAGUUUAUGAAAUGUAUGUGAUUAUUGAAUUUGAAGUGUGAUGAAAUGGUUGUAAUGGUUAUGUAGUUUAUGAAAUGUAUGUGGUAAUGUUACCUUGUAA
This is a long non-coding RNA of Lathyrus oleraceus (garden pea), 329 nucleotides long. RefSeq lists it as uncharacterized. Lineage: Eukaryota; Viridiplantae; Streptophyta; Magnoliopsida; Fabales; Fabaceae. The record is from RefSeq and is a predicted model, not a curated record. The transcript is spliced from 2 exons.